AACCAUCGUUAAACGGCCGCGGUAUCCUGACCGUGCAAAGGUAGCAUAAUCACUUGUUCUCUAAAUAAGGACUUGUAUGAAUGGCCACACGAGGGUUUUACUGUCUCUUACUUUUAAUCCUAU
Molecule: ribosomal RNA, 123 nt
Filed under: Kogia sima (dwarf sperm whale)
Lineage: Eukaryota; Metazoa; Chordata; Mammalia; Artiodactyla; Physeteridae
Description: partial large subunit ribosomal RNA
Rfam family: Archaeal large subunit ribosomal RNA (bases 1-107)
Source: RNAcentral